This 1474-nucleotide long non-coding RNA is filed under the name Coturnix japonica (Japanese quail). Its description in RNAcentral is "lncRNA (ENSCJPG00005018059.1)". The record is from RNAcentral. Lineage: Eukaryota; Metazoa; Chordata; Aves; Galliformes; Phasianidae.
AAGAACAAAGCAAAAAGGACUUGUGUAAUCUUUGAUUUUUCCUUCCUUGCAUUUUUUUCUGUAGCAUUCAACUAUGCUUCCAGGCGUUCACUGCAUCAUAUCAAAGAUGUCUAACAAUAUAUCAAUUAAGAGAGUGCUGAAAAACAGAAGAUACUGAGAGUUCACUGAUUAUUUUUCUGCAUGAUGAAGGUUUCAGAAAGAGAAUAUCUAGUUUUCUUCUAGGGUAUCUGGGUUUAAAGAUGCUUUUAAUAAACUGGGGAAGAACGGCUAACAGUAGAAGUAAAAAACCCACACUUUACAAUUAAUUAUGUUUAUCUAACAGGAUGGGAAAAAGAUGCUGGAGAGAUAUGGAAGAGCUGGAAGAAAUGGUAGGAGGGUAAAACAGAAAACAAGUGCUGCUAGAAAAGAAGUUCUUAUACACUGGAAGAAAUGAUUUGAAACACGCAGUUACCUUUUACAUGGUUAUCACAUGGGUAAUGAAUUUGGAGUGGAAAAAUGGACUGGCAGUGCUGGAUGCACAAUAAGAUUCUGCCAUCUCUUCCAGGUGUUGUCAUGACCUCCAUCCUUGAGCAUGUUUCUUCCUCCUGCACACCAGGUCCUUCUAGAAUCUAGACACAGAAGAUGCUAGUUGGAUAUGAGAUUAUCUGCUAUUGCGAGUGCCCCUAUUUUUACAAGCCUUGAUUUUAGCUUCCCCUAAAAAAGAUAUAUAUUUUUUGUUUUCAUGACAAUAUAAUGCCAUGUUUCUUCAACUGCAACAGAUGCUCCUAUUCUUUCAUCCUGUGAUGGCAAUACUUACUGUGGUAAAAUUGCUAAUUCAGUGAGCUGGUGAAAGUAAAAAGAGGUAAAGAGAUGUUGAGAUUUCUGAAAACUUAGUAACAGCUAUUGGGGUUUAUUGAGUUUUGCCUUAUGAUCAUGCUUACCAUGUCCUUAGACUGAAUAAUCAAUAAGAAUUGUGGCUCAUGUCUUAGUAUUUCUUGACUGCUUUCUAGUAUUUCACAACUGUAAUUUCUCAUGCUGCAUUUAAAUUUUAUUUUUAAAUCUGUGUAUUGAAUUGUUGGGGUGAACGUGGCUGUUUGAGAUCACCCUUUGAAAAAACUGGGUUUAAAUUCCAUGUGAAAAAUGUUUUUCUGCGUCCUGCAACUUGAGGUCAUCUAAUAUGUUCAGCUGCUAUUUUCAGACUCUUCUCAAAGACUUUAGGAUUCAUCCUUGAACAUCCAAAGAGAUUUGUAAAGCAAAUAGACAGAAUUCCAGUAUAUACUUUAUAAACGCAAAGUAGAAGAGUCCUUCAAACCAAAGAGUUAAUCUGUCAUUAUCAGAACAAACUACAUUUGAUACGCUUGGGAUAGCAUUUUCAUGCACAGCUCUUGAUCAUUACUUACCUUUGCUAUUAAUUUUGAUUGAGUUGAGUGGAUAAUCUUUAGUUUUGGAAAAAGCUCUGUAUGGCUUCAUACACUUCCUAGCACUGUUCUUAAAG